Molecule: long non-coding RNA, 578 nt
Filed under: Hordeum vulgare
Lineage: Eukaryota; Viridiplantae; Streptophyta; Magnoliopsida; Poales; Poaceae
Description: long non-coding RNA (HVUL_LNC005003)
Source: RNAcentral
GCCAGUGGCCCAAUAUGGGGCUCUCCGGGACUUUGAUCUCAACGAGAUGCUGCCGUGGGAAUGAUUUUGAGAGCUAGCUAAACCCUAGCCAGCCAUGGGAUAUUUGUCUGCAGCUUUGGAGUCUGAGCUACUAUACACAGCGUAAGCAUCAUGUGCCUGCUCCAAGCUAGUAGCAGUGUGUUUCAAUGUCAGUGUCAGUGUCUGUCAGUGUCAUUUUAAUUUUGGUAUGGUUUGUCACUAUUUAGCUAGUCCGUCCAUUCAUCUUGCUUGGAAAUGUAGAACUUGGGUUUUCCCAGUCGAUCCAUUCCAUGGUCUCUCUGGACACUGGAGAUAUAUAUAGAUCACCUGCAGCUGCAGGUAAAAUGCUUCUGAACACCGAUGUACACGCUAGCAAGACUGACAUGUCCGGCUUCGUUGGAGUUGAGAAUUUUGGAUAUAUAUACAUCCACUUAAUAUUGGUGUACUGUAGUUAAAUGAUUGUGAGGUCGAAAUGUAGUUCUUUCGGUCAGAGUUCUUUGUCGCCCCUAGUUUUUGUGUAAACAGUUCAUAAUAUUCUUGGUAAUGCAGGUUCACUAGAG